CCUACGGGGUGCAGCAGUCGAGAAUCAUUCACAAUGGGGGAAACCCUGAUGGUGCGACGCCGCGUGGGGGAAUGAAGGUCUUCGGAUUGUAAACCCCUGUCAUGUGGGAGCAAAUUAAAAAGAUAGUACCACAAGAGGAAGAGACGGCUAACUCUGUGCCAGCAGCCGCGGUAAUACAGAGGUCUCAAGCAUUGUUCGGAAUCACUGGGCGUAAGGCGUGCGUAGGCUGUUUCGUAAGUCGUGUGUGAAAGGCGCGGGCUCAACCCGCGGACGGCACAUGAUACUGCGAGACUAGAGUAAUGGAGGGGGAACCGGAAUUCUCGGUGUAGCAGUGAAAUGCGUAGAUAUCGAGAGGAACACUCGUGGCGAAGGCGGGUUCCUGGACAUUAACUGACGCUGAGGCACGAAGGCCAGGGGAGCGAAAGGGAUUAGAUACCCCGGUAGUC
This 446-nucleotide ribosomal RNA is filed under the name uncultured bacterium. RNAcentral describes it as "partial 16S ribosomal RNA". It matches the Rfam family "Bacterial small subunit ribosomal RNA", at positions 338 to 795 of the family's 1533-position model. The record is from RNAcentral.